Long non-coding RNA from Salvia splendens (bonfire salvia), 701 nucleotides. RefSeq lists it as uncharacterized. NCBI's taxonomy places the organism in Eukaryota, Viridiplantae, Streptophyta, Magnoliopsida, Lamiales, Lamiaceae. The record is from RefSeq and is a predicted model, not a curated record. The transcript has 3 exons.
UUCCUUCAUUUGAUAUGUACUCUGUUAGUAUCCAAAAACUGAAGUUUCGACAUUAUAACACUUCCCGAAACUCUACUCUUGCGGAUUAUCAGAUGUUGAUACUGGUUUCAAUGGUCAUUUGGGUACUUUUUAUUGUUUGAUUCGAUAUUUGGUGUAUCAUUGCUUAUAUUGCCUCCACCUACCUGCUUGCUAGUGUUUAGAUCUUCAUUAUAUUUGCUUUACCCGCAAUUGAAAAGGGCGAGGUGAUUGCUCUACUUGACAUAGCACUAUGUUUGUAUAGGCAACUCAGAAGGGAAAGUGAUUUCACUUUGAACUUCGAUAGUGAAUAUUUAUACCUUUCAUGUCCAACAUAAUCGUUGACAACUCAAAUAAGGACAAAUGUUUUCUGGCAACGAUAGAAAAAAAAUGAUUGUUGCAGCUCUCGAUGUGCUUCAGAUAACUAUGUUGCCAUUGAUAGACACUGUCAUAUUGUAUGGGGACUUUGCUCUUUGGACAUAGAAGACGCUCACAUAUCUAAAGACAAAAGCAAUGCAGCUAUAAAUUUGUUUUGCACUUUUAUAUGGGAUUAGGACUUUACUAUUUUUAUUACUAGUAGUAUAUUUGUUCAAAAUACAUAAGAUUGUUUUAUGUAAAAUCGUUAGAUACUUUGGAUAUCUAUUAUCCAAAUUUUGGAAUUUUAUUUGAAUGAGUAUUUAAUGAAA